This 67-nucleotide transfer RNA is filed under the name Marmota monax (woodchuck). RNAcentral's name for it is "tRNA.Ala". Lineage: Eukaryota; Metazoa; Chordata; Mammalia; Rodentia; Sciuridae. The record is from RNAcentral.
GGUUGUUGCUCAGUGGUACAGUGCUUGCUUAGCAUGUGUGAGGCACUGGGUUCGAUUCUCAGCACCA